CCUACGGGAGGCAGCAGUGAGGAAUAUUGGUCAAUGGCCGUAAGGCUGAACCAGCCACGUCGCGUGAAGGAAGAAGGAUCUUUGGUUUGUAAACUUCUGUUAUAGGGGAAUAAAGGUAUCCACGUGUGGCAAUUUGCAUGUACACUACGAAUAAGCAUCGGCGAACUCCGUGCCAGCAGCCGCGUCAAUCCUGAGGAGGCGAGAGUGAGCAGGAUUCAUUGGGUGUAUAGGGUGCGUAGGUUGUUUUUUAAGUUAGCGGUGAAAGUUUGUGGCUCAACCAGAAAAUUGCCGUUGAUAUAGGAAGACUUGAGUGUGUUUGAGGUAGGCGGAAUGCGUGGUGUAGCAGUGAAAUGCGUAGAUAGCAAGCGGAACAC
This 374-nucleotide ribosomal RNA is filed under the name uncultured bacterium. RNAcentral describes it as "partial 16S ribosomal RNA". It matches the Rfam family "Bacterial small subunit ribosomal RNA", at positions 338 to 709 of the family's 1533-position model. The record is from RNAcentral.